This 439-nucleotide ribosomal RNA is filed under the name uncultured bacterium. RNAcentral describes it as "bacterial SSU rRNA". It matches the Rfam family "Bacterial small subunit ribosomal RNA", at positions 28 to 473 of the family's 1533-position model. The record is from RNAcentral.
GAUGAACGCUGGCGGCGUGCUUAACACAUGCAAGUCGAACGGGAUCGGCUGGAGCUUGCUCCGGCCGUGAGAGUGGCGAACGGGUGAGUAAUGCGUGACCGACCUGCCCCAUACACCGGAAUAGCUCCUGGAAACGGGUGGUAAUGCCGGAUGCUCCGACAUGACGCAUGUCGUGUUGGGAAAGAUUCAUCGGUAUGGGAUGGGGUCGCGUCCUAUCAGGUAGUCGGCGGGGUAACGGCCCACCGAGCCUACGACGGGUAGCCGGCCUGAGAGGGCGACCGGCCACAUUGGGACUGAGAUACGGCCCAGACUCCUACGGGAGGCAGCAGUGGGGAAUAUUGCACAAUGGGCGCAAGCCUGAUGCAGCGACGCCGCGUGCGGGAUGACGGCCUUCGGGUUGUAAACCGCUUUUGACUGGGAGCAAGCCCUUCGGGGUGAG